GACGAACGCUGGCGGCGUGCUUAACACAUGCAAGUCGAACGGAAAGGCCCUGCUUUUGUGGGGUGCUCGAGUCGCGAACGGGUGAGUAACACGUGAGUAACCUGCCCUUGACUUUGGGAUAACUUCAGGAAACUGGGGCUAAUACCGGAUAGGAGCUCCUGCUGCAUGGUGGGGGUUGGAAAGUUUCGGCGGUUGGGGAUGGACUCGCGGCUUAUCAGCUUGUAGGUGGGGUAGUGGCUUACCAAGGCUUUGACGGGUAGCCGGCCUGAGAGGGUGACCGGCCACAUUGGGACUGAGAUACGGCCCAGACUCCUACGGGAGGCAGCAGUGGGGAAUAUUGCACAAUGGGCGGAAGCCUGAUGCAGCAACGCCGCGUGCGGGAUGACGGCCUUCGGGUUGUAAACCGCUUUCGCCUGUGACGAAGCGUGAGUGACGGUAAUGGGUAAAGAAGCACCGGCUAACUACGUG
RNAcentral lists this ribosomal RNA (468 nucleotides) under uncultured bacterium. Its description in RNAcentral is "partial 16S ribosomal RNA". It matches the Rfam family "Bacterial small subunit ribosomal RNA", at positions 28 to 507 of the family's 1533-position model. The record is from RNAcentral.